GUAGGCUACGGGGACAUGUGUCCUGUUACCAUCGGUGGCAAAAUCGUGGGCGCCCUGUGUGCCAUCGCAGGGGUGCUGACCAUCGCGUUGCCGGUGCCGGUCAUUGUGUCCAAC
Molecule: regulatory RNA element, 114 nt
Organism: Scleropages formosus (Asian bonytongue)
Lineage: Eukaryota; Metazoa; Chordata; Actinopteri; Osteoglossiformes; Osteoglossidae
Rfam family: Potassium channel RNA editing signal
About the family: This family represents a group of sequences related to the human potassium channel Kv1.1 hairpin element which directs the efficient modification of an adenosine to inosine by an adenosine deaminase acting on RNA (ADAR). The ADAR modification causes an isoleucine/valine recoding event which lies in the ion-conducting pore of the potassium channel.
Source: Rfam